UAAAAAUAUAUUAAAAUUAAAUAUUUUUACAAUAUCAGCAAAUACAUCCUCUAAUCAAUGUUGAUCCUGCAACUAUAGAAUAGAAAUGUUGACAAGUCUAAUAAAUAUAUACUAUGACUUAUGCUCAACAUGCUUAUACUAUGCUCUACAUUAUAGGCGUGCUCUCCAUGUUCGUAAUAAUGCUCAUCCUAAUAAUUGUUCAAAUGUAGAUGUAUAAUAGGAGCAAACAAUUACAUGACAUCCUAUGUAUUAUAUAUAAUAAUACUGUGAUUGAUGUGUAAUUACAUAAAUUUAAUAUACUUAAAAAAUAUAUCAUUAUAUAUUAUAGCUUGGUCAAUAGCCUUUGCUCUGGAAAUUUGUUGUUGUUUUAGAACGAUGAAUAAGCACCUCAAACAUGUGAUAAAACUAAUUUUAAAAACUUAAAAUGUGGAGAACUGGAGAGGCGGAGUCUAGAGUGAAAAAAAUGGUGAUAAGAGAGGAAAUUGCUGGAUUUCGUCAGAAGUUUGUUUAUUCUAAGAGCAAUGAAGGAAAACAAAUGUGGAAAAGAGAGAGAGAGCUUCAGGAGACAUGCCAAGAUGCAGUUUCAUAGAAGGGAUCAUCCAAGUCUAAUUUCAAUUCCUUUUCCUUCAAACAGUGGUCUUUUGAGACUAACGAGGAGCAUUCUAGGGGCGUCCUUUUUUCUCAGGUCAGCAGCGAUGUUUCCAGUGUUGCAGCAUUUUGAUCGUUUUGUUCAAUGGGAACACAGUGUCUAUUCUUGUACAGUCGUUUGCUUUUUAGUAAGAAGCUAAUUGUAGAGGACUGGAAGAUUGGUUAAAAGGUGCUGGAAAAACAGGGAGCAGAAAGUUUGGUUACACGACACAAAAUCGCAGGGAUAAUGCAGGAAUUUACAAAUCUGGAAAGCAAUGCAGAGAAAGAAACUAAACUGAGGAGAAAAGCAAGAGAGCUUCAGGAAAUUGCAGGGAUAAUGCAGGAAUUUGGUUCCAUACCUAACGUCAUUCCAUCAGAGCUGGUCCGCAACGCUGAUCCAAUUGGGUUCAUUGAAGCUACGCUGACUAAGAUGGAGGUUCCAUUUGAGAAGCUGCUUGAUGGGUUUGAUCAGUCCUUGAGGCCUCCUCUUACACUGACUGAUCAUUUCUUGUUUUGGGUGAUUGGUGUUGGGAAUCGAAGGAACAUUCCGGUGGCUUCAUCUUUUCCUAAUUCUUCAACUGUACUUUCUGUGUUUUGUCAUGUGAUCUUCUAUCACAACACGGACACUUCCCCGUGGACAUGUCAAGUGAGGUCAAAUCUUAACUUUCUUCCCUCUUCAAGGGAGAAGGGUUUUCUGCAAGAAUUAUUCCACUGCCUUAUCAAAAUUUCUACAAUCCUAGUUGAAUCGUCAUUGAAAAUGGAUUUAUAAUUGUCCUAAGCUAGCAUGUGAAUUAUUUUAUGGUAGAUAUUUUAUUUUUAGCAUGUGAAAUCUAUUAUACAUAUAAUGUAAUCAUGGCUUUAGUAAGUGAAUU
Populus euphratica (Euphrates poplar) is the source of this 1499-nucleotide long non-coding RNA. RefSeq lists it as uncharacterized. The record is from RefSeq and is a predicted model, not a curated record. Lineage: Eukaryota; Viridiplantae; Streptophyta; Magnoliopsida; Malpighiales; Salicaceae. The transcript is spliced from 3 exons.